This 1498-nucleotide small RNA is filed under the name Drosophila pseudoobscura pseudoobscura. RNAcentral describes it as "GA32925". Lineage: Eukaryota; Metazoa; Arthropoda; Insecta; Diptera; Drosophilidae. The record is from RNAcentral.
AAGCCACCACCAAGCAGCAGAGCACCCACUCUCCUCUCCAGACGGACAUUCCCCCACGCCCCAUACAUAUAAACGAAAUUUUGCUUCGUUUUUGUUCUCCAAAAUACAUUCAUACUUUUACGAGUACGAGUAUUCACGGAUUUACGGAUUUGUUACACUUUUAGCCUUGAACUAAGUUGGGAGGCGGCUCUAUUGCUCAGAGAUAUGGAUUAUUGCCAGGCAUUGAAGGUGCAAGAGAGAGAGUCUAGGAUUGAUCUUACCCUCAAGGAUCUGUUAGUUUUGUAUUAACUGUGACCAAAAGGCAUAUCAACGGAAUUCCAAGGGUGUCUACUCCAGACUUUUAUGAUAUUUAUCCUGUCGAUACGAUACGAAUAGAGCACAACAAUAUCUCAUCUAUACAUUCAUUUAUUCCGCUUUUUGAAGGCCACACAGUAACCUAGAACCCUCGUAGAACUGCGAAAUUCAUUGAUCUUUCCCAAUAAUUUCCAUUCAAACAAAACUGUAUUUGGCAAAUGUGUAUAGUAUUUUUCAUUCGUUUAUUUUUGUUUAUCUAAAAAUAUUCGCGAAAUCAAAUAACAAGAAAUAGGACACAAUACGGUAAACAAUUCGUUCAUCAUUGUUUAAAUACUUAAAAUAUACAAAUUUUAAAAAUGUUAUAGACGGCUGUUGAUCAGUUUUACUUUUCCUUGUGUUAAAAUUAAAUUUUCUUUAAAAUAGUAAAUAAUAGAUGUGUGUUUUAAAAUCGGGCAACUGCUCGGGAAACCCCAUCAAUGGACAUUCCGAAUGGCAGGACAUUAUCUGUUGAGUGCUGGAUUUUUUAAACUAUCUUUAAACGAUAUUCCAUGGACCGUCUUAUAACUUAUAAAUCCUUCAGUUCUAUUCGGUUAAAGUCUAUUUUGCUAUCCCACCCAAACGACUCCAGAUAAAAGGCCACGAGCAGUUGCGAAUAUAUAUGGACACCGACACCACUGGUUGACUGCUAUGCUAAUUCUGUUUUGCAGUUUCGAAAACAAUAAAAAAAAAAACUUAAACAAUUUAGUUUUAGUUAGUUUAAAAGCAAAUACCACAUAUGCUCCGUAAAUAUACUAUGCAAAUCUCUGCAUACACAUACAAUAUAUGUAGUAUGUAGUACAACUAGUGUUUCCAUUCAUAUAUAAAACUAGAUCGUAUCAUAACUAGUUAUGUAAGCUACCUUCCAUUGCGUGUUCUGUUCGCACAUACCAUACAUACAUGCUCGUACAUAAGUGUAUCAAAAAACCUACAGACAUGAGUUCAUGAGUAACUACAAAAUCCUACGACAAAAUGAACUAAUUCCUUGAAUUUUCUUGUUAGCAUAUAACCGGUCGAAGAGAGAACUGAUCUUAGCACAAAUUACAAAUUAAUUCAAUUCCUUGUGGUCCGUUGUCCCGAUGGGGGAUCAGCAAUUCUUAUAAUACAAAUAUUUGUGUAGCACUUGGUCGCGAACCGCUGACAAUAGCUGGGCCGGGCCACUUCUGAG